Molecule: ribosomal RNA, 430 nt
Filed under: uncultured Bacteroidota bacterium
Lineage: Bacteria; Pseudomonadati; Bacteroidota
Description: bacterial SSU rRNA
Rfam family: Bacterial small subunit ribosomal RNA
Source: RNAcentral
GAUGAGCAUGCGUCCCAUUAGCUAGUUGGUAAGGUAACGGCUUACCAAGGCUACGAUGGGUAGGGGUCCUGAGAGGGAGAUCCCCCACACUGGUACUGAGACACGGACCAGACUCCUACGGGAGGCAGCAGUGAGGAAUAUUGGACAAUGGGCGCAAGCCUGAUCCAGCCAUGCCGCGUGCAGGAUGACGGUCCUAUGGAUUGUAAACUGCUUUUGUACGGGAAGAAACACUCCUUCGUGAAGGAGCUUGACGGUACCGUAAGAAUAAGGAUCGGCUAACUCCGUGCCAGCAGCCGCGGUAAUACGGAGGAUCCAAGCGUUAUCCGGAAUCAUUGGGUUUAAAGGGUCCGUAGGCAGUUUAGUAAGUCAGUGGUGAAAGCCCAUCGCUCAACGGUGGAACGGCCAUUGAUACUGCUAGACUUGAAUUAUU